RNAcentral lists this ribosomal RNA (465 nucleotides) under uncultured bacterium. RNAcentral's name for it is "partial 16S ribosomal RNA". It matches the Rfam family "Bacterial small subunit ribosomal RNA", at positions 28 to 507 of the family's 1533-position model. The record is from RNAcentral.
GACGAACGCUGGCGGCGUGCUUAACACAUGCAAGUCGAACGGAAAGGCCCUGCUUGCAGGGUACUCGAGUGGCGAACGGGUGAGUAACACGUGGGUGAUCUGCCCUGCACUUCGGGAUAAGCCUGGGAAACUGGGUCUAAUACCGGAUAGGAGCCAUUUUUAGUGUGAUGGUUGGAAAGUUUUUUCGGUGUAGGAUGAGCUCGCGGCCUAUCAGCUUGUUGGUGGGGUAAUGGCCUACCAAGGCGGCGACGGGUAGCCGGCCUGGGAGGGUGGACGGCCACAUUGGGACUGAGAUGCGGCCCAGACUCCUACGGGAGGCAGCAGUGGGGAAUAUUGCACAAUGGGCGCAAGCCUGAUGCAGCGACGCCGCGUGGGGGAUGACGGCCUUAGGGUUGUAAACUCCUUUCGCUAGGGACGAAGCUUUUUGUGACGGUACCUAGAUAAGAAGCACCGGCUAACUACGUG